GAGAGUUUGAUCCUGGCUCAGGAUGAACGCUAGCGGCAGGCUUAAUACAUGCAAGUCGUGGGGCAGCAGGUCCGUAGCAAUACGGAUGCUGGCGACCGGCAAACGGGUGCGUAACACGUACGCAACCUUCCUUCAGGCGGGGAAUAGCCCGGGGAAACCCGGAUUAAUACCCCAUAAAAUCUUGGGAUGGCAUCAUCCUAUUAUUAAAGCUUCGGCACCUGAUGAUGGGCGUGCGGCUGAUUAGGUAGUUGGCGGGGUAACGGCCCACCAAGCCAGCGAUCAGUAGCUGAUGUGAGAGCAUGAUCAGCCACACGGGCACUGAGACACGGGCCCGACUCCUACGGGAGGCAGCAGUAAGGAAUAUUGGUCAAUGGACGAAAGUCUGAACCAGCCAUGC
RNAcentral lists this ribosomal RNA (397 nucleotides) under uncultured bacterium. RNAcentral describes it as "bacterial SSU rRNA". It matches the Rfam family "Bacterial small subunit ribosomal RNA", at positions 7 to 397 of the family's 1533-position model. The record is from RNAcentral.